GACGAACGCUGGCGGCGUGCUUAACACAUGCAAGUCGAACGGAAAGGCCCUGCUUUUGUGGGGUGCUCGAGUGGCGAACGGGUGAGUAACACGUGAGUAACCUGCCCUUGACUUUGGGAUAACUUCAGGAAAAUGGGGCUAAUACCGGAUAGGAGCUCCUGCUGCAUGGUGGGGGUUGGAAAGUUUCGGCGGUCGGGGAUGGACUCGCGGCUUAUCAGCUUGUUGGUGGGGUAGUGGCUUACCAAGGCUUUGACGGGUAGCCGGCCUGAGAGGGUGACCGGCCACAUUGGGACUGAGAUACGGCCCAGUCUCCUACGGGAGGCAGCAGUGGGGAAUAUUGCACAAUGGGCGGAAGCCUGAUGCAGCAACGCCGCGUGCGGGAUGACGGCCUUCGGGUUGUAAACCGCUUUCGCCUGUGACGAAGCGUGAGUGACGGUAAUGGGUAAAGAAGCACCAGCUAACUACGUG
Molecule: ribosomal RNA, 468 nt
Filed under: uncultured bacterium
Lineage: Bacteria
Description: partial 16S ribosomal RNA
Rfam family: Bacterial small subunit ribosomal RNA
Source: RNAcentral